Molecule: unclassified non-coding RNA, 68 nt
Filed under: Pedobacter terrae
Lineage: Bacteria; Pseudomonadati; Bacteroidota; Sphingobacteriia; Sphingobacteriales; Sphingobacteriaceae
Description: Flavo-1 RNA
Source: RNAcentral
GUUUAGCCACGGGCGCAGCGGCAUCCCUGUAGCGCAGCGAAAGGAUAUAGCGGAGCACGGGAACAAAC